GGGGGUAUAGCUCAGCUGGCUAGAGCGCCUGCCUUGCAAGCAGGAGGUCUUCGGUUCGAUCCCGUAUACCUCCACCA
RNAcentral lists this transfer RNA (77 nucleotides) under Clostridia bacterium. RNAcentral's name for it is "tRNA-Ala". It matches the Rfam family "tRNA". From Rfam's summary of the family: Transfer RNA (tRNA) molecules are approximately 80 nucleotides in length. Their secondary structure includes four short double-helical elements and three loops (D, anti-codon, and T loops). Further hydrogen bonds mediate the characteristic L-shaped molecular structure. tRNAs have two regions of fundamental functional importance: the anti-codon, which is responsible for specific mRNA codon recognition, and the 3' end, to which the tRNAs corresponding amino acid is attached (by aminoacyl-tRNA synthetases). tRNAs cope with the degeneracy of the genetic code in two manners: having more than one tRNA (with a specific anti-codon) for a particular amino acid; and 'wobble' base-pairing, i.e. permitting non-standard base-pairing at the 3rd anti-codon position. Lineage: Bacteria; Bacillati; Bacillota; Clostridia. The record is from RNAcentral.